Molecule: ribosomal RNA, 206 nt
Filed under: uncultured bacterium
Lineage: Bacteria
Description: partial 16S ribosomal RNA
Rfam family: Bacterial small subunit ribosomal RNA
Source: RNAcentral
UGCGUAGGUGGCCGGGUAAGUCUGACGUGAAAUCUCCGAGCCUAACUCGGAAACUGCAUCGGAUACUAUCCGGCUUGAGGAUUGGAGGGGGGACUGGAAUACUUGGUGUAGCAGUGAAAUGCGUAGAUAUCAAGUGGAACACCAGUGGCGAAGGCGAGUCCCUGGACAAUUCCUGACACUGAGGCACGAAAGCUAGGGAGCAAACA